This 1341-nucleotide long non-coding RNA is filed under the name Monodelphis domestica (gray short-tailed opossum). RNAcentral's name for it is "lncRNA (ENSMODG00000045026.1)". The record is from RNAcentral. Lineage: Eukaryota; Metazoa; Chordata; Mammalia; Didelphimorphia; Didelphidae.
AACAGUUCGUGCCAAACUGGAAAGAUAGGGGGCAGAGAGAGGGGGGGAGGGAGGGAGGGAGGGACAGGGAGGAGAGGGAGAGAGAGGGAGAGGGAGAAAGAGAGGGAAAGAGACAGAGGGAGAGAGAGAGAGAGAGAGAGAGAGAGAGAGAGAGAGAGAGAGAGAGAGAGAGAGAGAGAGAGAGAGAGAGAGAGGAGGGAGAGAAAGAUGGAGAGAGAGAGAGAUGGAGAGAGAGAAAGAGAGAGAUGGAGAGAGAAAUAGAGACAGAGACAGAGAGGCACACAGAGACAGAGACAGACAGACACAUAGACAGAGACAGAUAGACACAUAGACAGAGAGAGAUGGAGAGAGAAAGAGAGACAGAGACAGAGAACAACUAAUCAAUCUCAGCUCUGCAAGCAGCAGCCUGGCCCAAGUAAAGUCUCUUAUCAGGACUCUGCUCACUGCCUCCCUCCUCCAUCCCACAAUAACAAGUACAACUGUAAAAUAAAGGGGUUGGACUAAAUGGUUUUUAAACUUCCUUCCAGCUUAGAAAUUGCAUAUUCCAAAGUCCCUCCCAGCCCUGACAUUCAAUUACUCUCUGACAUUUUGGAGUGAAAGACUUCUGUGUUUUCCUUUGCAUUAAAUUGCAGGUGUUAGAUCAUUUGUCCCCAUUACCACAAUUUCUUCCAUCAAGUGUCCAGGUCCCUGGUGACAUUAACCCAGCAGAGAAAAAAAGUGAGUUUAGUGUCUGGGGCAGUUCUCUGGCCUCUUUGUCCUGUAUCCUGGUACAAGGGAGAAGCCAGGUCCUUCUUGCUCAUCAGCCCUCUGGGAAUCUGAAAUUCUUAUUCCAUUCUAGUACAAUUAUUGAAGGGAGCAAAGGAGAAAAUUUUACAGCAGAGGGAAGUUCCUAUUCCAUUUAUAGAACAUGCUGCUGGGCAUGAUCUGAGUGACCUGGUUUUCAAAGUGUACCUUUGUCAACUUCUUGGAGCCACAAAUGAGAGCUGGGCAUCAGGUAGACACCAAAGGAGGAAAACAGCCCUGAAAAAAACCUUGGAAGGCCUUCACACAAGAGGUACAAAGAGACAGAGUUGGAAGUCUAAAAACCUAAAAGACUAGGGCCUUUCUUGUUAUAUCAUGUCUCACUUGAAAUUAAUAAUCAGAGGGACAUUGAAAAAAGACACCUCUAUUAUUGUAGCUUUCAAAGAUUCUUGUAUGAUUUUGAAAUAUGCAUGGGAUUCACCUUGUUGGAGGAGAGCCUUUAGGGUCUACUUUGCUCUAUCUACUCGAAUUCAUUUUUAGAGUGAACAAAAAAAAAAACAAUUAAAUAAACACAAGGGGAUCUUGUUUCCUCUACCCCUU